Molecule: ribosomal RNA, 253 nt
Filed under: uncultured bacterium
Lineage: Bacteria
Description: partial 16S ribosomal RNA
Rfam family: Bacterial small subunit ribosomal RNA
Source: RNAcentral
UACGUAGGUGACAAGCGUUGUCCGGAUUUACUGGGCGUAAAGAGCGCGCAGGCGGUCGGUCAAGUCGAGUGUGAAAGCCCCCGGCUCAACUGGGGAGGGUCAUUCGAUACUGAUCGACUCGAAGGCAGGAGAGGGAAGUGGAAUUCCCGGUGUAGUGGUGAAAUGCGUAGAUAUCGGGAGGAACACCAGUGGCGAAGGCGACUUCCUGGCCUGUUCUUGACGCUGAGGCGCGAAAGCUAGGGGAGCAAACGGG